This 77-nucleotide transfer RNA is filed under the name Candidatus Fimenecus excrementigallinarum. RNAcentral's name for it is "tRNA-Arg". It matches the Rfam family "tRNA". Rfam says of the family: Transfer RNA (tRNA) molecules are approximately 80 nucleotides in length. Their secondary structure includes four short double-helical elements and three loops (D, anti-codon, and T loops). The record is from RNAcentral. Lineage: Bacteria; Bacillati; Bacillota; Clostridia.
GCGCUGCUAGCUCAGUCGGAUAGAGUGUUUGGCUACGAACCAAAAGGUCGGGGGUUCGAAUCCCUCGCAGCGCGCCA